RNAcentral lists this long non-coding RNA (216 nucleotides) under Lathyrus oleraceus (garden pea). RNAcentral describes it as "Pisum sativum (pea) long non-coding RNA (PSAT_LNC019709)". The record is from RNAcentral. Lineage: Eukaryota; Viridiplantae; Streptophyta; Magnoliopsida; Fabales; Fabaceae.
AGGUGAAACAUGGAGUCAUGGUGAAAAUAAAUGUCAAAAGGCAAAAAUGAGAAUUGGCGCAGGCAGGACUCGAAGCCGGUCCGGUUUUCAAAAAGUGGCGCGCUAACACCUUCCACAUGCACAGUACACGAAAAACUGGAUCAAAAUCACUUUCUGGAAAAAAAUUUAAACAUUCAACCGUGUUCUUCAUACAUUCAUCACUCAUGAACAAUUUUC